GUGUCUUCUCCCCCACCCUCUUGCACGUGGACUUCAGGCUUCAUGUGCGCUGUGUCUUCAACGCCAGUGACUUCCUGCCCAUUCAGGCAUCCAUUUUCCCACCCCCAUCGCCUGCUCCUAUGACCCAGCCCGGCCCCCUGCGGCUUGAGCUGCGGAUUGCCAAAGACGAGACCUUCAGCUCGUACUAUGGGGAGGAUGACUAUCCCAUCGUGAGGCUGCUCCGAGAACCAGUCCAUGUGGAGGUCCGGCUUCUGCAGAGGACAGACCCCAACCUGGUCCUGCUGCUGCACCAGUGCUGGGGCGCUCCCAGUGCCAACCCCUUCCAGCAGCCCCAGUGGCCCAUCCUGUCAGACGGGUGAGUGCCCCCACACUCCCCCCACCUGCUCUGCCUCCUGUAAACAGCCUCUCUGACUUCUCUUCUCAGAUGCCCUUUCAAGGGCGACAGCUACAGAACCCAAAUGGUAGCCUUGGACGGGGCCACACCUUUCCAGUCGCACUACCAGCGAUUCACUGUUGCUACCUUCGCCCUCCUGGACUCAGGCUCCCAGAGAGCCCUCAGAGGACUGGUUUACUUGUUCUGCAGCACCUCUGCCUGCCACACCUCA
RNAcentral lists this small RNA (605 nucleotides) under Pan troglodytes (chimpanzee). RNAcentral describes it as "retained intron". The record is from RNAcentral. Lineage: Eukaryota; Metazoa; Chordata; Mammalia; Primates; Hominidae.